UGGGGAAUAUUGCACAAUGGGGGAAACCCUGAUGCAGCGACGCCGCGUGAGCGAAGAAGGUUUUCGAAUCGUAAAGCUCUGUCCUAUGAGAAGAUAAUGACGGUAUCAUAGGAGGAAGCCCCGGCUAAAUACGUGCCAGCAGCCGCGGUAAUACGUAUGGGGCGAGCGUUGUCCGGAAUUAUUGGGCGUAAAGGGUACGUAGGCGGUCUAUUAAGUCAGGUGUGAAAGCGUGAGGCUUAACCUCAUUAAGCACUUGAAACUGAUAGACUUGAGUGAAGGAGAGGAAAGUGGAAUUCCUAGUGUAGCGGUGAAAUGCGUAGAUAUUAGGAGGAAUACCGGUGGCGAAGGCGACUUUCUGGACUUUUACUGACGCUCAGGUACGAAAGCGUGGGGAGCAAAUAGG
RNAcentral lists this ribosomal RNA (403 nucleotides) under Verrucomicrobiota bacterium. Its description in RNAcentral is "Verrucomicrobia bacterium partial 16S ribosomal RNA". It matches the Rfam family "Bacterial small subunit ribosomal RNA", at positions 355 to 776 of the family's 1533-position model. Lineage: Bacteria; Pseudomonadati; Verrucomicrobiota. The record is from RNAcentral.